Peltaster fructicola is the source of this 133-nucleotide non-coding RNA. NCBI's taxonomy places the organism in Eukaryota, Fungi, Ascomycota, Dothideomycetes. The record is from the annotation of a GenBank genome assembly.
UCCGAUAUGGUCUAGUGGCUAGGAUUUCUGUUAGUUCCUUCCUCGUCUGUUGCAAAGACCCAUUCACUAACAAUCAUCAGCGCUCUCAUUAUAAAGUGCCGAGGAGGCCGGGGUUCAAUUCCCCGUGUCGGAA